RNAcentral lists this ribosomal RNA (193 nucleotides) under uncultured bacterium. RNAcentral's name for it is "partial 16S ribosomal RNA". It matches the Rfam family "Bacterial small subunit ribosomal RNA", at positions 1309 to 1500 of the family's 1533-position model. The record is from RNAcentral.
AACCCGCCCACCAUGAAGUUGGAGUUGCUAGUAAUCGCGGAUCAGCAUGCCGCGGUGAAUACGUUCCCGGGCCUUGUACACACCGCCCGUCACACCAUGGGAGUUGGGAGCGCCCGAAGCCGGUGAGGUAACCGAGAGGAGCCAGCCGUCGAAGGUGAGACCAAUGACUGGGGUGAAGUCGUAACAAGGUAAC